This 899-nucleotide ribosomal RNA is filed under the name uncultured archaeon. RNAcentral describes it as "bacterial SSU rRNA". It matches the Rfam family "Archaeal small subunit ribosomal RNA", at positions 1 to 877 of the family's 1478-position model. The record is from RNAcentral.
UUCCGGUUGAUCCCGCCGGACCCGGACUGCUAUCGGAUUGAGAUUUAGCCAUGCGAGUCGAACGUCCCUCUGUUGCGGGGGGCGUGGCGUACGGCUCAGUAACACGUAGUCAACCUGCCCUGGAGACGCGAACGACCCCGGGAAACUGGGAUUAAUUCGUGAUAGGUCACCUCAUCUGGAAGGAGAGAUGGCUCAAAGGGGUGCGCGGGCUUCUUCCGCGUAUUUGCUCCAGGAUGGGACUGCGUCCGAUCAGGCUGUUGGCGGGGUAAUGGCCCACCAAACCUGUAACCGGUACGGGCCUUGAGAGAGGUGGCCCGGAGAUGGACACUGAGAGAAGGGUCCAGGUCCUACGGGGCGCAGCAGGCGCGAAACCUUCGCAAUGCGCGAAAGCGUGACGAGGUUAAUCCGAGUGACUCCCGCUGAGGGGGUCUUUUGUCAGCUGUAAAUAGGCAGGCGAAUAAGGGGAGGGCAAGCCUGGUGUCAGCCGCCGCGGUAAUACCAGCUCCUCGAGUGGUCGGGGCGAUUAUUGGGCCUAAAGCAUCCGUAGCCGGUUCCGUAGGUCCUCUGUUAAAUCCAACCGCUUAACGGUUGACCUGCAGAGGAUACCGCGGGACUAGGAGGCGGGAGAGGCGGACGGUACUCCGCGUGUAGGGGUAAAAUCCUUUGAUCCGCGGAAGACCACCAGUGGCGAAGGCGGUCCGCCAGAACGCGCUCGACGGUGAGGGAUGAAAGCUGGGGGAGCGAACCGGAUUAGAUACCCGGGUAGUCCCAGCCGUAAACGAUGCUAGCUAGAUGAUUCAUUCGCAAGUCGCGAAUGAAGUGUCGCAGGGAAGCCGUUAAGCUAACCGCCUCGGGAGUACGGUCGCAAGACUGAAACUUAAAGGAAUUGCGGGGGAACC